GUGAGGAAUAUUGGACAAUGGAGGAAACUCUGAUCCAGCCAUGCCGCGUGAGUGAUGAAGGCCUUCGGGUUGUAAAGCUCUUUCAGCUGGGAAGAUAAUGACGGUACCAGCAGAAGAAGCCCCGGCUAACUCCGUGCCAGCAGCCGCGGUAAUACGGAGGGGGCUAGCGUUGUUCGGAAUUACUGGGCGUAAAGCGCGCGUAGGCGGACCAGAAAGUUGGAGGUGAAAUCCCAGGGCUCAACCUUGGAACUGCCUUCAAAACUCCUGGUCUGGAGUUCGAGAGAGGUGAGUGGAAUUCCGAGUGUAGAGGUGAAAUUCGUAGAUAUUCGGAGGAACACCAGUGGCGAAGGCGGCUCACUGGCUCGAUACUGACGCUGAGGUGCGAAAGCGUGGGGAGCAAACAGGAUUAGAUACCCUAGUAGUCC
This 425-nucleotide ribosomal RNA is filed under the name uncultured bacterium. RNAcentral's name for it is "partial 16S ribosomal RNA". It matches the Rfam family "Bacterial small subunit ribosomal RNA", at positions 354 to 796 of the family's 1533-position model. The record is from RNAcentral.